Long non-coding RNA from Entelurus aequoreus (snake pipefish), 531 nucleotides. RefSeq lists it as uncharacterized. The record is from RefSeq and is a predicted model, not a curated record. The transcript is spliced from 3 exons. NCBI's taxonomy places the organism in Eukaryota, Metazoa, Chordata, Actinopteri, Syngnathiformes, Syngnathidae.
UUGGAUUGGUGGCCAAAUACUUUUGGCCAUAUAGUGAAUCAAAAGGACUAAUUCCACAAGUUUGGCCUUUUUUCCCUCAUUUUCUGAGACAACUAUAUAGAAGCGGUCUUGGAAAGUGGUCCACGUGUGGCACGGCUGCAGAGUAUCACGGUGGAAUGCCAGGAUGUAUUCCUCCAAACACCAAUCCUCCCGUAUCAGGUGUCUUUGAAGUUAUGGCCAGCUUGCCUGUCGUCACCCGCCCCCUGAAAACAGUACAGGGAACUUAGUUUCUCGAUGGUGAACCUGUUUUCCUUCCGUUGCCCUGGAUGUCGACUGCCUCCCUCAAUCCUCGACCGCCGUCUGGACACGGACCUUGUCGCCUCUCUCUCUGUCCCACGGACCUCACUUGGAUCACGGACCCCUUUCGCCUAGCCCCCUUUGGAUUUAUCUGCUUCCUCAUCCAACAUCACGGUAACACACAACAGUUAAUUACACACAUAGUUUAACACCACACACACUCUUGGAUUUUGGUCACACACUCAUUCCUUAGUU